This 583-nucleotide small RNA is filed under the name Pan troglodytes (chimpanzee). RNAcentral describes it as "retained intron". The record is from RNAcentral. Lineage: Eukaryota; Metazoa; Chordata; Mammalia; Primates; Hominidae.
AAGCUCCCGGCCGGGCUGACUCAAGCGGAGGCGCGCGGAACAGUCGCCGAGGCGAUUCCCGCCCAGGCUCCUGUAACCGCCAGGCAGCGGCCCCACCAUGUCCCAGCCCCGGACCCCAGAGCAGGCACUGGAUACGCCGGGGGACUGCCCCCCAGGCAGGAGAGACGAGGACGCUGGGGAGGGGAUCCAGUGCUCCCAACGCAUGCUCAGCUUCAGUGAUGCCCUGCUGUCCAUCAUCGCCACCGUCAUGGUCUGUACGGGGCCCCUGCUUAGGCCUGCCCCACCCCGAGCCUCUCGAGGCACUGCCCAGCCCACCUCAGACCUGUCUAGGUCUUGCCAGCAUCCUUGGGUCCCCCAGCUCCUCAGGCAGCUUAGGGGGGCCCAGCACUGCCCUCGAGUCCCCAGUACUGCCACACCCAAUCCAACAAGCGUCUCUUGCUUUCUUGCUUCCUUCUGUCUCUUUGCCCCCUCAGAUCCUGCCUGUGACCCACACGGAGAUCUCCCCAGAACAGCAGUUCGACAGAAGUGUACAGAGGCUUCUGGCAACACGGAUUGCCGUCUACCUGAUGACCUUUCUCAUCGU